This 178-nucleotide small nuclear RNA is filed under the name Theobroma cacao (cacao). Its description in RNAcentral is "snRNA U2". It matches the Rfam family "U2 spliceosomal RNA". Rfam says of the family: U2 is a small nuclear RNA (snRNA) component of the spliceosome (involved in pre-mRNA splicing). The record is from Rfam by way of RNAcentral. Lineage: Eukaryota; Viridiplantae; Streptophyta; Magnoliopsida; Malvales; Malvaceae.
AUUAUUCGCAGAACAGAAGAGGUAAAUUGGUAUCAGUUUAAUAUCUGAUACGUGGGCCAUCGGUCCACAUGAUAUUAAAUUAAUUUUUUAGGGGGAGAGCUCACCACAGUAGCUUGCUGCUGAACCUCUCGCGCGUCGCCUAAGCGUUGCACUACAGCUUAGGCCGGGCGCUCCCCAC